This 526-nucleotide ribosomal RNA is filed under the name uncultured bacterium. RNAcentral's name for it is "bacterial SSU rRNA". It matches the Rfam family "Bacterial small subunit ribosomal RNA", at positions 34 to 573 of the family's 1533-position model. The record is from RNAcentral.
CGGUGGCGGCGCGCCUAACACAUGCAAGUCGAACGAGCGAGAGAGAGCUUGCUUUCUCGAGCGAGUGGCGAACGGGUGAGUAACGCGUGAGGAACCUGCCUCAAAGAGGGGGACAACAGUUGGAAACGACUGCUAAUACCGCAUAAGCCCACGGGUCGGCAUCGACCAGAGGGAAAAGGAGCAAUCCGCUUUGAGAUGGCCUCGCGUCCGAUUAGCUAGUUGGUGAGGUAACGGCCCACCAAGGCAACGAUCGGUAGCCGGACUGAGAGGUUGAACGGCCACAUUGGGACUGAGACACGGCCCAGACUCCUACGGGAGGCAGCAGUGGGGAAUAUUGCACAAUGGGGGAAACCCUGAUGCAGCGACGCCGCGUGGAGGAAGAAGGUCUUCGGAUUGUAAACUCCUGUUGUUGAGGAAGAUAAUGACGGUACUCAACAAGGAAGUGACGGCUAACUACGUGCCAGCAGCCGCGGUAAAACGUAGGUCACAAGCGUUGUCCGGAAUUACUGGGUGUAAAGGGAGCGCA